AGUGAACACUGGCGGUAGGCCUAACACAUGCAAGUUGAACGGCAGCACAGUAAGAGCUUGCUCUUACGGGUGGCGAGUGGCGGACGGGUGAGGAAUACAUCGGAAUCUACUUUUUCGUGGGGGAUAACGUAGGGAAACUUACGCUAAUACCGCAUACGACCUACGGGUGAAAGCAGGGGAUCUUCGGACCUUGCGCGAUUGAAUGAGCCGAUGUCGGAUUAGCUAGUUGGCGGGGUAAAGGCCCACCAAGGCGACGAUCCGUAGCUGGUCUGAGAGGAUGAUCAGCCACACUGGAACUGAGACACGGUCCAGACUCCUACGGGAGGCAGCAGUGGGGAAUAUUGGACAAUGGGCGCAAGCCUGAUCCAGCCAUACCGCGUGGGUGAAGAAGGCCUUCGGGUUGUAAAGCCCUUUUGUUGGGAAAGAAAAGCAGCAGGUUAAUACCCCGCUGUUCUGACGGUACCCAAAGAAUAAGCACCGGCUAACUUCGUG
Molecule: ribosomal RNA, 492 nt
Filed under: uncultured bacterium
Lineage: Bacteria
Description: partial 16S ribosomal RNA
Rfam family: Bacterial small subunit ribosomal RNA
Source: RNAcentral